Molecule: ribosomal RNA, 301 nt
Filed under: uncultured bacterium
Lineage: Bacteria
Description: partial 16S ribosomal RNA
Rfam family: Bacterial small subunit ribosomal RNA
Source: RNAcentral
CAGCAGCCGCGGUAAUGCGAAGGGGGCUAGCGUUGUUCGGAUUAACUGGGCGUAAAGGGCACGUAGGCGGAUCCUUAAGUCAGAGGUGAAAUCCCAAGGCUCAACCUUGGAACUGCCUUUGAUACUGGGGAUCUCGAGUUCGGGAGAGGUGAGUGGAACUGCGAGUGUAGAGGUGAAAUUCGUAGAUAUUCGCAAGAACACCAGUGGCGAAGGCGGCUCACUGGACCGACACUGACGCUGAGGCGCGAAAGCGUGGGGAGCAAACAGGAUUAGAUACCCCUGUAGUCCCUGUCUCUUAUAC